This 354-nucleotide ribosomal RNA is filed under the name Triticum aestivum (bread wheat). RNAcentral describes it as "partial small subunit ribosomal RNA". Lineage: Eukaryota; Viridiplantae; Streptophyta; Magnoliopsida; Poales; Poaceae. The record is from RNAcentral.
AUGGUUGCGGUAGUCGGCUCUUCUUCGGCGUGUCCAUGGUAUUGCCUCGGUUUGCUUGUUGCUAUGGAGUCGAAGCUGCGGCGGCGAGGCCCUGUGGUAUACGAUGACUGGCUGCAGGUUGCCCGUUCGGCGAUCUCCCGUGGCGCCAAUCGUGCCUGGUUUUGUCCUACUGAGUUCUCCGUCAGAGUUGGAAUUGCGCUGUCUGGCCGCAGGAGGCUGAGGUUUUGGCAUCGAUCUUCAUGCAGCUUCACGUGUCCGCUACAGUGUGGGUUGAGUCGACGAUCGCCUACGGCGAAGUGGGAGUCGUUUCCUCAGAGUGUAGGGAUGGCGAUGACGCCUCUAGGGGAGGAGUGA